Molecule: ribosomal RNA, 580 nt
Filed under: Trigonopterus sp. 146-A AR-2020
Lineage: Eukaryota; Metazoa; Arthropoda; Insecta; Coleoptera; Curculionidae
Description: partial large subunit ribosomal RNA
Rfam family: Bacterial large subunit ribosomal RNA
Source: RNAcentral
CGCCUGUUUAUUAAAAACAUGUCUUAUUGAAUAUAAUUUUAAGUCUGACCUGCUCAAUGAAUAAUUAAAUGGCUGCAGUAAAUUAACUGUACAAAGGUAGCAUAAUCAUUUGUUUUUUAAUUGGAAGCUAGAAUGAAAGGUUUGAUGAAAAAAUUUCUGUCUCUAUGAAAAUUUAUUAGAAUUUUAUUUUUAAGUGAAAAAGCUUAAAUUUGUAUUGAAGACGAGAAGACCCUAUAGAGUUUGAUAUUUGAAGAAUAAUUUUUAUUGUAGGAAAUUUAUGUAAAUUAUUUAUAUUAAAAUAUUUUGUUGGGGUGAUAAAAAAAUUUGUUUAACUUUUUUUAAUAUGAUAUCAUUAAUUUGUGAAUAGAUGAUCCUAGUUUUGUUUAGAUUAGAAGAAAAAAUUACCUUAGGGAUAACAGCGUUAUUUUUUUCAGAGUUCUUAUCGAAGAAAAAGAUUGCGACCUCGAUGUUGGAUUAAAAUUUAUUGCUGGUGCAGAAGCUAGUUAAUUAGGUCUGUUCGACUUUUAAAAUUUUACAUGAUCUGAGUUUAGACCGGUGUGAGCCAGGUCGGUUUCUAUCU